This 253-nucleotide ribosomal RNA is filed under the name uncultured bacterium. RNAcentral's name for it is "partial 16S ribosomal RNA". It matches the Rfam family "Bacterial small subunit ribosomal RNA", at positions 524 to 776 of the family's 1533-position model. The record is from RNAcentral.
GACGAACCGUCCUAACGUUGUUCGGAAUCACUGGGCUUAAAGGGCGCGUAGGCGGGCUGCCAAGUCCGGGGUGAAAUCUUUCGGCUCAACCGGAAAAUAGCCUUGGAUACUUGCGGUCUCGAGGGAGGCAGGGGCCGUUGGAACUUCCGGUGGAGCGGUGAAAUGCGUUGAGAUCGGAAGGAACGCCGGUGGCGAAAGCGAACGGCUGGACCUCUUCUGACGAUGAGGCGCGAAAGACAGGGGAGCAAACGGG